RNAcentral lists this ribosomal RNA (254 nucleotides) under uncultured bacterium. RNAcentral describes it as "partial 16S ribosomal RNA". It matches the Rfam family "Bacterial small subunit ribosomal RNA", at positions 524 to 777 of the family's 1533-position model. The record is from RNAcentral.
UACGUAGGGUGCGAGCGUUGUCCGGAAUUAUUGGGCGUAAAGAGCUCGUAGGCGGCCUGUUGCGUCCGCUGUGAAAGCCCGGGGCUUAACCCCGGGUCGGCAGUGGAUACGGGCAGGCUAGAGGUAGGUAGGGGAGAAUGGAAUUCCCGGUGUAGCGGUGAAAUGCGCAGAUAUCGGGAGGAACACCGGUGGCGAAGGCGGUUCUCUGGGCCUUACCUGACGCUGAGGAGCGAAAGCGUGGGGAGCGAACAGGG